CCGCACAAGCGGUGGAGCAUGUGGUUUAAUUCGAAGCAACGCGCAGAACCUUACCAGGUCUUGACAUCCACGGAACCCUGGUGAAAGCCGGGGGUGCCCGCAAGGGAGCCGUGAGACAGGUGCUGCAUGGUCGUCGUCAGCUCGUGUCGUGAGAUGUUGGGUUAAGUCCCGCAACGAGCGCAACCCUUGUUGCUAGUUGCCAUCAGUUCGGCUGGGCACUCUAGCGAGACUGCCUACGAAAGUAGGAGGAAGGCGGGGAUGACGUCUGAUCCGCAUGGCCCUUACGACCUGGGCGACACACGUGCUACAAUGCCUGCCACAAAGCGCUGCGACCCGGCAACGGGAAGCCAAUCGCAUAAAAGCAGGCUCAGUUCGGAUUGGGGUCUGCAACUCGACCCCAUGAAGCUGGAAUCGCUAGUAAUCGCGGAUCAGCCAUGCCGCGGUGAAUACGUUCCCGGGCCUUGUACACACCGCCCGUCAAGCCAUGGGAGUGGGUUUUGCCUGAAGUCGCCGGGAGCCACAGGCAGGCGCCUAGGGUAAGGCUCAUGACUGGGGCUAAG
Molecule: ribosomal RNA, 560 nt
Filed under: uncultured bacterium
Lineage: Bacteria
Description: bacterial SSU rRNA
Rfam family: Bacterial small subunit ribosomal RNA
Source: RNAcentral